UAUGUCUAAAGAGAAUUCAAAACAGAGU
This 28-nucleotide non-coding RNA is filed under the name Bombyx mori (domestic silkworm). Lineage: Eukaryota; Metazoa; Arthropoda; Insecta; Lepidoptera; Bombycidae. The record is from RNAcentral.